CUCAGAACAGCCCACAGUCAGCCCCCCUGUAUGCUGGAGUGUGGGUCAAGCGGGCAGCCUUCUCCCGUCCAUGCAUUGUGGCGGGGUCAGAGAAGGUGAUGUCUCUUCCAUAUACAUAAUGGCAGUUGGAAGCAGAUGUAAAACAUGCCUAUCCCCUUCACUGUCCGACCUCACAGAGAUCAUGUGACUACACGGCAGAUCAAGACAAGUUAGAAAGCCGCCAGGACAACACAGUCUCCAAGCGAGUGACAUCAAUGAAGCUUCCUUCCCCAGCUGAUUCAUCUGCAGCAAGACGCAAGCGAUGGACUCCGUGACCAGGACAGACAGGCAGACAUGGGAUGCGGGGGAGCCAAUUAAACGUAUCAAUAGUGACGCUCCUACCACAUCAUCAGUGACUAAUGUUACCUAUAUCUGCAGCCACACUAUGUUUGAUAUGUUGCAUAAAGUUGUAAGUACAUUCUUGUAGUCCAUCAUCUGAGGUUGAUAAUGAUGGCUAUCUGUAGCUUGUAAUUGUUUCAGUGAUGUAACAUUAAAAUUAUAUUGUUACCAGAUCAUCUGUGAUAAACAAUGAAAGCUGCAGCCAUGCUAUUGAAAUAUAAGUCCAUGGAUGUUAAGUAAUUCUAUUCUCCUAAUAGGCAAAUCUCUGACAUGUGACUCAAGUCCCUUAUAGGGACAACUUGUUCUAAUUGCUUAAUCUAGAAAUAAUGAUUUAAACUGAUAAAUAUUGCCUUACAGACUUGUGCAAGUCUACCGAACUAUAUCCAUGUUUCAAUAAUGUGACAGAAAGGUUACUCUUCAACAAUCAUCUGUGAAUAACAAUGAUAUCCGCAGACAAUACUCAAAAGAAGUUAAAAAACACCUGAUGACAGAUUAACUAUAGUAAUAUGAAAUAAUAGUGUUUUUUAUCUUCUUUUGAGAUAAUAGAUUUGAUAUGCUUCAGUA
This 942-nucleotide long non-coding RNA is filed under the name Haliotis rufescens (red abalone). RNAcentral's name for it is "uncharacterized LOC125371725, transcript variant X1". Lineage: Eukaryota; Metazoa; Mollusca; Gastropoda; Lepetellida; Haliotidae. The record is from RNAcentral.